Molecule: ribosomal RNA, 476 nt
Filed under: Candidatus Scalindua wagneri
Lineage: Bacteria; Pseudomonadati; Planctomycetota; Candidatus Brocadiia; Candidatus Brocadiales; Candidatus Scalinduaceae
Description: bacterial SSU rRNA
Rfam family: Bacterial small subunit ribosomal RNA
Source: RNAcentral
UUCGCAAUGCCCGAAAGGGUGACGAAGCGACGCCGCGUGAGCGAAGAAGGCCCUAGGGUUGUAAAGCUUUGUCGAGGGUUAUGAAAUAUAAAAAGGUUAAUACCCUUAUUAUUUGACAAAGGCCCCAAAGGAAGUCACGGCUAACUCUGUGCCAGCAGCCGCGGUAAUACAGAGGUGGCAAGCGUUGUUCGGUAUUAUUGGGCGUAAAGAGCACGUAGGUGGUUUUGUAAGUCAGGUGUGAAAGCCUUCUGUUCAAAGGAAGAACGGCAUCUGAAACUGCAGAUCUUGAGUGUAGGAGGGGAGAGUGGAACUUCUGGUGGAGCGGUGAAAUGCGUAGAUAUCAGAAGGAACGUCGGCGGCGAAAGCGACUCUCUGGCCUAUUACUGACACUGAGGUGCGAAAGUUAGGGGAGCAAACGGGAUUAGAUACCCCGGUAGUCCUAACCGUAAACGAUGGGCACUAAGUAGAGGGGUUUU